GGGCGCUUAGCUCAGCUGGGAGAGCAUCUGCCUUACAAGCAGAGGGUCAGAGGUUCAAAUCCUCUAGCGCCCA
RNAcentral lists this transfer RNA (73 nucleotides) under Pseudomonadota bacterium. Its description in RNAcentral is "tRNA-Val". It matches the Rfam family "tRNA". From Rfam's summary of the family: Transfer RNA (tRNA) molecules are approximately 80 nucleotides in length. Lineage: Bacteria; Pseudomonadati; Pseudomonadota. RNAcentral also lists the same sequence under 2 other names. The record is from RNAcentral.